GCUGGUUACAUGAGCGGGACUUCUCAAAUUUUAAAUUUCAUCUUCAGUCGUUCUCUCUCUAUAUUCAUAUCUAGGGGAUUACAUAAAAUAGAAGAAAGGAUCUAGAUGAAACCCUAAAGUCUUCUGCUCGUUCUCUCUCUAAGUUCACUAGCUACAACAAAUCGAUAGGUGAUUUGUAAAUCGAUAACUUGUUUUGAUUUGUGUUGCCGCAGAUUAAAAUGGUUAAAGUGGCAGUCUUCUUGUUUGCUGUCAGCGUUGGUUGUUUACGGUGGUUUUGGCAAAGCUCCGGCGGUGGUUUAUAUACAUGGUGGUCACCGGAAUUUAACCUUCCUUCUGUUUAAAGAUUUUGAAGAUUACAGAGAUUUUUACGUUUUGGUUCAGAGCUCUGUAGGUUCUGUUGGGAUCCACUCCACUGGAGUUGAUAUGUGGUUUAUUGUUUGAGUGAUGGUUGGUGCAAGUUGAGAAUGAGUACGGAUCUAUAGGAAAGGCGUAUGGAGGUGCGGCUACAACUACAUGACUUAGGCUGCAAACAUGGCGGUUAAAUUGGACACCCCAUUCGUAAUGUGCAAGCAAGAUAGUACUCACAACCAAAUGUUCCAUUUUUUGCUCUACACAUUUGCAGAGAAUUUGAAAUCAUCCACGGGAUGAGACGAGACGAGAAAACAGUGGGUUAGCAUACCUUCUUUUCUUGGCGAAUAGAGAGUUUUCGAUUAUCUGUUGAAAAGGUAAAAGCUGGCGUGGAAACUCAAGUUGAUUUCGUUAAGUCACUUGCUUUUGAAGCCUGUGUUGCUUUCUUUACAGACAUACAAGAUUGCGGCCUUUGUGAACUGGCUACACGGAGAACUCUCCUUCUUGGUUGAUGAGAGGGCAGUAUUGAAGCACUUUGAAGCACUUUGACUUGCCAGAAGGGAAAGCAGGUGCACUAAGAAAAGCAAGCUUUGAAUAUCAAGACCUGAACUAUGUAUCCAAACACGUAACUUUGUUGAUGAUUCAAAUCACUCCUAUGAAUAUGCUUUAAAGAAUGUACAAGUUGCUGUAUGUAUCCAAACACUUGAUAUUUAGUUUUAAAUAUCUUUUUUAUGAUCGUUAUAAUCAUUAACAUGAAUUAUAAAAACAAUUAACAAUUAAUG
RNAcentral lists this long non-coding RNA (1130 nucleotides) under Helianthus annuus (common sunflower). RNAcentral's name for it is "hypothetical non coding rna". Lineage: Eukaryota; Viridiplantae; Streptophyta; Magnoliopsida; Asterales; Asteraceae. The record is from RNAcentral.